RNAcentral lists this ribosomal RNA (507 nucleotides) under uncultured bacterium. Its description in RNAcentral is "partial 16S ribosomal RNA". It matches the Rfam family "Bacterial small subunit ribosomal RNA", at positions 28 to 507 of the family's 1533-position model. The record is from RNAcentral.
GACGAACGCUGGCGGCGUGCCUAAUACAUGCAAGUCGAACGCAUUUUCUUUCACCGUAGCUUGCUACACCGACAGAAACUGAGUGGCGAACGGGUGAGUAACACGUGGGUAACCUGCCCAUCAGCGGGGGAUAACACUUGGAAACAGGUGCUAAUACCGCAUAAUUCCAUUUACCGCAUGGUAGAUGGGUGAAAGGCGCUUUUGCGUCACUGAUGGAUGGACCCGCGGUGCAUUAGCUAGUUGGUGGGGUAACGGCCUACCAAGGCUGCGAUGCAUAGCCGACCUGAGAGGGUGAUCGGCCACACUGGGACUGAGACACGGCCCAGACUCCUACGGGAGGCAGCAGUAGGGAAUCUUCGGCAAUGGACGCAAGUCUGACCGAGCAACGCCGCGUGAGUGAAGAAGGUUGUCGGAUCGUAAAACUCUGUUGUUAGAGAAGAACAAGGAUGAGAGUGGAAAGUUCAUCCCUUGACGGUAUCUAACCAGAAAGCCACGGCUAACUACGUG